This 170-nucleotide ribosomal RNA is filed under the name uncultured rumen bacterium. RNAcentral's name for it is "partial 16S ribosomal RNA". It matches the Rfam family "Bacterial small subunit ribosomal RNA", at positions 338 to 525 of the family's 1533-position model. The record is from RNAcentral.
CCUACGGGAGGCAGCAGUGGGGAAUAUUGCACAAUGGGGGAAACCCUGAUGCAGCGACGCCGCGUGAGUGAUGAAGUAUUUCGGUACGUAAAACUCUAUCAGCAGGGAAGAAAAUGACGGUACCUGACUAAGAAGCACCGGCUAAAUACGUGCCAGCAGCCGCGGUAAUA